RNAcentral lists this ribosomal RNA (477 nucleotides) under Escherichia coli. Its description in RNAcentral is "bacterial SSU rRNA". It matches the Rfam family "Bacterial small subunit ribosomal RNA", at positions 30 to 495 of the family's 1533-position model. The record is from RNAcentral. Lineage: Bacteria; Pseudomonadati; Pseudomonadota; Gammaproteobacteria; Enterobacterales; Enterobacteriaceae.
AUUGAACGCUGGCGGCAGGCCUAACACAUGCAAGUCGAACGGUAACAGGAAGAAGCUUGCUUCUUUGCUGACGAGUGGCGGACGGGUGAGUAAUGUCUGGGAAACUGCCUGAUGGAGGGGGAUAACUACUGGAAACGGUAGCUAAUACCGCAUAACGUCGCAAGACCAAAAAGGGGGACCUUCGGGCCUCUUGCCAUCGGAUGUGCCCAGAUGGGAUUAGCUAGUAGGUGGGGUAACGGCUCACCUAGGCGACGAUCCCUAGCUGGUCUGAGAGGAUGACCAGCCACACUGGAACUGAGACACGGUCCAGACUCCUACGGGAGGCAGCAGUGGGGAAUAUUGCACAAUGGGCGCAAGCCUGAUGCAGCCAUGCCGCGUGUAUGAAGAAGGCCUUCGGGUUGUAAAGUACUUUCAGCGGGGAGGAAGGGAGUAAAGUUAAUACCUUUGCUCAUUGACGUACCCGCAGAAGAAGCACCG